CACAGUUCAGCAUGGCUGGGGAGGUCUCAGGAAACUUACAAUCAUGGUGGAAGGUGAAAGGGAAGCAAGGCACCUUCUUUACAAGGUGGCAGGAAAAAGAAGUGCCAAGUGAAGGGAAGAGAGUCUCAUAAAACUAUCAGAUAUUGUGAGAACUCACUCACUUUCAUGAGAGCAGCAUGGGGGAAAUUUUCUUCAUGAUUCAAUUACCUCCAUCUGGUCUCUCCCUUGACAUGUGGAGAUUGUGGGGCUUACAAUUCAAGAUGAGAUUUGGGUGGGGACAAAAACCCUAACCAUAUCAAUGAUGGUAUCAAAAUGUGAAGCCUUUGGUAAGUGAUUAGGUCAUGAGAUUAGAGCCCUCAUAAAUGGAAUUAGUGCUCCUAAAAGAGACACCAGAGAGCUGGCUAGUCUCUUCCACCAUGUGGGGACACAGUGAGGAGGCACCAUCUAUGAGCCAGGAAGAAAGUCCUCACCAGACACCAACUAUUCUUCUGCUUUUAUCUUGGACUUCCCAGAACUGUAAAAAAUAAAUUUUUGUGGUCUAUAAACCACUCAGUCUAUGGUAUUUUGGUAUAACAGCCUGAAUGGAUGGAUUAAGACACCAGUUUAAAUCAUUUUUUCCACUAAAAACUAAAACAGUUAAAAUAAAUGAAGAAAUUAAAUGAGAACUAUGCUUGUUUGGAAGGAGAUAGAAUCCAUACAUUUAUUCUUCAUUGCACCAUUAUUCACUGAACAGUUGCCAUAAGCCAGGUUCUGUGCUGGGCCCUGGCAGUACAGAGAUGAAUAAAGCACAAUUCUUGCCCUUAGAAGCUCACAGACUAGCUAGAGAGACAGACAGAUGAGGAGGGGACCAUAGAGUGAUAUGGUAUGUGAGAUAGGAGAGGCACGUGGGUCGGGGGCAUGGUGACUCAGGAGAGGCAACCCAUUCCUGGGAGGGAUCAAUGAAUUGAGACUUACAAAUGAGCAGGAUUUAGGAAAGCUGAGAAAAAUAAAGUGUCGUCUGUGAUGAUACAGAGAAAGGAGAGGUCAGGGUGAGGUAUGUAAUAAUGAUGAAGAUGAGGAUAAUUAGUGUUAUAUCUAGUUAACCAUUUAUCGAGUGCUUAUCAUACAUUCUGCCCUGGUCCAAGUUCUUUGUAUAUACAAUGUCAUUUGAUCCUCAUGGUGAUUCCAUGAGGUAGGUACCUAUUUUACUGGUAAGAAGGCGUUAGGGAAGUUGACAGAAACCACAUAGCAGGCCAGGGCUGCUGGGAUAUAAGACAAAAACAUGGAGUGUUGAUAGACGAAACUCUUGAGAAUUUGUUUUGGGUUUGGAUUGUGAGAGGUUUUAAAUAUAACACAAAGAGCUCAAUUAGAGGACAGAAAGUACACUGUUAUUGCUGAGUGCCUACUAUAUUCCAGUUACAUAUCUGAUCUGAUCAAAUUUUUACAACUCCCCUAUUUGAUAAGCAUUAUUAGCCACAUUCUUACUAAAAAAACUCAGACAUAUUUUUAUUUUCCUAAAUCACUCUACUAGUAAGUGGCAAAAAGUAAAAAAGGCUGGCCCCUGAACACAUUUUUUAACUGCUAUAUUAUUGUCCAUUUCCUCUUUCUGGUAAAUAUUUUUAAUCCUUUUUCCCCCUUCUAAUCAACUGAUGAAAGCUAUCAUUUCUCUCUGCAGAAACAUACAUGGAACUAUAUACAAACAAACUUUUGCUUGUAAUUAAUUUUGUUGCAUGGGAAUUUCAUUUUUUUUUCAUAUGGACAGACCAUACAAACAAGUCUUACAUAAAAUUAUUUGUCUCAUUUCCUGCCCCCCUCCACAAAAUAUUACUGCUUUUUUCCUUGAAAAAGCAAUAAAUCCAAAUUUUGCAAAUGAAUGAAAAAUGUAAAUUGAAAUUCUGCUGAAAUGUAACAUUUCAGUGAGGAGCCUGCUGUUGUUUGACUUAAAAAAAGAAAUAGAAAUGUUGGAGCUGUCUUUGCAUGACAGCAUCAUUUUAGCAAUCUAAUCAUUUCAGCAUUGUUUUUUUGGCAACAAGUCCCUAAACUGUGACUCAGAAAGGUAAGUAACAAACACUGUUAUUGUUCCCAGAACUCACUUUGCCACACAAGGUCAGAUGUGUGUCAAGGAGGCCCAGAAUCCUCUAAGACUCUUUGAGUUUAAUUUAUUUUGUAUAAUCCCCUUUGUCCUAGAGUUAAUGAGGUUGGCUCUGCAUUCUUGAUGCCAUCUGUGUCAGCAAGUCGAGGAUUAUGAAUCCAGUUCAAUCGUAAGGCUGUCUACACACUAGUAAACCUCAGAAGAACUCUGCUACAUUUCCUGGUAUCUACAGAUUUCUGCUUAUGGAGAAACAGACAAGGUUUUGUCACUAUGUACAACAGUCUACAAAAACAGUUUUUCUUGACUGGGAAAUAGGAUAAUUUUCCACCUCCUAGUUCUUCCAGAAGAGUGAAAAUGGCUGAAAUGCUAGGAACUUUUUGGCAGUGUCCGUAAUGGUGAAUGCUGGGCAUAAAUUCAAACCGCUACUUUAUCCAACUUGCCAAAAAUGUCCACCAAGAAUUUCUCCCUGUCAGAUUAUUCUGAGAAAGAGCAUUUUUAAUCUGCAAAGUAAUAAUAACAAUAAUGAUAAUAAUGACUGUCUGUCAGAAGUUCCAUUGAGUGCUUUAAGACUUAUCCUCUAGAAUCUGGUAAGACUCCCCAGAUAAGGUCUUCUGAGUUCUCUUCCUGUUUCUUGGUAAGUACUAAAAACGUGGUUCAAGGAGAGGAUAACAGGAAGUUCUCUGAGUUUGAUCGGCUGGAUCUGACACUCGAGCACACCAAUAUAGAAAGCAACCAAGGGGCAAUGUCAUCUGAUGCUUUUUUCUUCACUGCAUCCUUUAUCUUACAAUUUAGUGCUUCAGCAACAGCCAUUAAUUUGGCUCAUGAUUUUAUGCAUUGGCGGUUUGGGCUGGGCUCAGCUGGUGGUUCUUCUGGUCUGAGCUGGGCUCAGUUGAUCUCCACUGGGCUCAUUUAUGCAUCUGCAGUCCUGCUGGUGGAUUGGCAAGGGCAUGCAGGUUUGUGGUCUUGAUUGUUGACAUGUCUGAGCUCACUCUCCAUGUUGGUUUCUUAUCCUCCAGGUGGUUAGCCUGGGCUUGUUCACAUGGUGACUGGCUUCCGUGAAGAGCCAGAGAGCAAGCCUGUGAGAAGAACACCAAGCACUUUUAAGUAUUUGUUUUUGUUCCUUUGCUCCUGUCCUACUAGUCAAAGCAAGGUACUAGUCAGCCCAUAUUCAAGGCAUGGACCCAAGCUCUAGUCAGCCCACAUUCAAGGCAUGGACCCAAGCUCCAAUCAUUGGUGAGAAACGCUAUCUUGUGAGGCUGUGGGUAUGGGAAGGAGAUGAAUCUGUGGCUAUUUUUCUAAUCUACCAUAUUUGCAAAACACAAAAGCCUUUUAAGAGUUAAGGGGCCAAUAUAUUAUACCUUUCUCCCACUUUUGAGUUUAGAGCCAGUUGAGAGAAGUACAUAGGGGUCAAAUGGGGCAGAUCAAAUACCAGCUUAAUUAUUGGUGAAGUUAGAAUGGGAACCCAUUUUGUAUCUGUAGUCUGAACAGACUUUCUAUAAUCCUCUCUCUCCUAGAAUGAAAGUAGCCAUCUGGAAUUUAAGCUGUCCCCCUGCAGGAGCUUAAAAAUGUGUGUGUGUUUUGAGUAGGUGGAUGCCAGAGAGAAAAAAAACACAAGGAAGAGGGCCAGGUAGAGAUUCUUCUCCUCUGCUCUGUAGGGAAAAAUUGUAUCACUGAAUGCUAGAUACUUCCUUUCCCAUCAUGAGAAUAAAGAAAAAAGUGGAAAGAGAGGGAAAAUGUUACUAUUUAUAAGCCUAGGUGGGAAUGCUAUGAGAGGGGGAAAAAUGGUCCCCCUUAUCCCAGAUGUGUUUCCAAGCAAUGAAGGUAUUUAUGUUUGUGUGUGCCCUGAGUGUCAUUUUUUCCCUCUAGGUAAUGGCAGUGAGACCAUUUAUCACUGUGAACAUGUGGAUGGUAACAGAAGAUUCCAAAUGGGAUUUGCAAAAUAGGACUUCUUCAUUGACAGUGGAUGGGAAUCAGAUGGGCAUAGGGCAUCUGGUCCAUGAUCAUCCUUUCUUCGUGCUGGUCUCCGAUGAAAUAUCUGAAGAAGGUAGGUCCCUGUCACCAUGUGUUGACAUUUGCCUCUGGGGUGUCUGUGGUCCUAUGUGGUCUCCCACUGACAGGCCAUGCUCUCUGUUUCUUCCUCAUCCUGCCUCAGGCCCCUUUGGGCCAGUUACAGUGUCUCAUCCCUUCUGCUCUCCCCUCAAUGGCUUUGCAACUCUUAGUGUCUUUUCUCCCCAUUUCCCCACUGGGGUGCAUGGGACAUCACUCUAUGAGGCCUCUCUCAGGCCCAUCCACCAAGAUUCCUUCCUCUGCCAUUGUUAACUCUACCACUCUUGUGCCUUGCUGGGAACAACCUCUCUGCAAGGCUUGCAGACUCCCCAAGGGAUCCUGGAGGGGAAGAUACAGAUAUUUUAUGCUCUGAGAUCUACCCAAGCCAUUUAGUGUUUCUGUGAAUCCUCUCUCCUUUCCAGAUUUAACUGGAAAGGGCAAGAGUGUGAAUGUAGUGCUUUCCUCUGGAACUUACUUCAAUAACCAACUCUCUUACUUCCCUCUUCCAAAUGUAUGGUAACCUAUCUCCUUUUCUUAGCCCAUGUAAUACAUGUUACCUCUCCUCUUAGGCUUCUUUAUCAUUUAUUUAAUGCCUAUGCCUUCUUUUGUUCAAAGAUCAGCUCUCUUGAUUAUUCUCUCAAGGCUUUUAAGACUGCUGUCACUGUUAUGCCUGUAAACCUGGCAUUCUAAAACCCAGCUGAGUUUUGUUUUAGGCUAUAUCAUCAUUUUCCACUGAGGGUAGGACAAAGAGAAAGUUUUUACUGCUGGUUGACAUGGUGCAGGGGGUGAAGGGCAGGACACGGAAGUACAGGGGAAGAGCAUUUUAGUUAAUGUCACAGAGUUUAAUUCUCCCAUAGAAACUUCUACAUCUUCCAGAUAAGCCUUCUGUGGUGGGUCAAAUACAAGUUUUAGUAUUAUUGCAGUUUUUUCAAGUUAAGAAUCAUUCCCACCAAACAUCCAGCUAGAGGCAGUAGUAGGUUGAUGUAGUUACUUCUGGGGCAGGAGAGGGGGCUGGUUGUGCUGUGGUCUGGGAAGUGGAUCACCAUAGGAGAUAGAGGAGCUGACGCCAGCACCGGGAAAUGGGAUUGGUGCCUCCAGCAUUGAGCUGAAGAGAACAGACAACUGUUCGUAGCUCCGCAGCAGCCUAGGGCAACCACAUUAGCUUCAUCAGCCGUUCCAUGUCACCUAUAGCACCAAGAUAUCAUCCAUUUGUUCACCAGUAAAUUUCUCUCCCAAUAAUGGAACACAGGAACCCACUCCUCCAAGAUUCAGGAGAGUAGUGGGCAAGAUGCUACAGCUUUGAGGUGCAGUGCUGUGCUCUCAGGUAGGUGAAAAAAGAUUUGCAUGUUGGUUUCCCCUUUCCCAGCUGUGUGGCCUUGGGAAAGCUACUUAAUCUUUCUAGGCCUCAGUCUUUUAAAAAUCUGAAACAUGUGAAGAAUGACAGAAUAUCUAGUGUGUGUGUUUGUGUGUGUGUGUGAAAAGAAUUAAGUGAACUGUGAUAUGUAUAGUCCUUGGCAGAAGGCCUGGUACUUAAUAAGCACUCAAUGAAGGAAAGCCAUUAUUCUUGCUGUGUUGUUUUUUAAUUGUUAUUGUUGUUGCCAUUGUUAUUUAGGAGAGCACUGUAGACUUGUAGACUUUGCUUUGAGCAUUCUUUUUCCAAUGACUCAUACUGUCCAAUGUUAGAUUAAGAAUGGACAAAGGUCAGGAGACAAUUCAGUUAGGUUGGCUCUAAGCUUUCUGUGGCAAGAUCACAGUCUUUCAAGAGGACAGCCACGUUGGAGCUCUGCCAUGUUUGGUGAUGAAAGUAUGGGAAAGGUGAGCUUUGCUGACAAUUUCAAGGUCAAACUAGGACUGACAUAGACUGGCCAUGUUGGAGUCAUAAUUGCAGGUAGGUUUUUUCUUGCCUAUCACUUUGAGAUUAUAUUCUAAAUACCAUAAAAUGAUGACCAUGAUUAUAGCACUUAAGAGGAAAACAGUACCUUAACAAUAUAAUUUGACAUAAAAAUGUUUUCCCAGAUAGGCAAUUUACAAUGUAGCAUGAGGGAAAUUUAUGAAAUAAAAAUUUAUGUCUUGUUUUUAGAGAACUUGGAACCAUCCAUGUAAUAACCCCAGGGCUCCAUAGGUUACGUAUUAAGAAUUUCUUUUGCUGGUUUCUCUGAGCACCAACAUUCUGUGCCAUCAUCUGUCCCAUAGGGUAUCCAGCCCAGUGCUAUAGACAUACAUAGUAGAUGUAUAAUAAAUGUAUAAUAAGUGUGUAGUAUAUGCCCACUAAACUGAAUUGAAAAGUCUUCAGGACUCAAAAUUAUCCAAUUGUAAUGGGUAAUGAGAAGCAAUGAAACAGAUGCAUCCAGGGUUUCCCUCUCCAAUUAGAUUACAUGGUAACUGUCUUGGACAUGCCAGACUGAAGGUUUAUUACUGAAUUAUCAGUCUGUGCUGAGCUCUGCCAGAGGUAAGAUGAGAGAGCUCAGGAAAUAAAGCCAAAGAUGGGAAACUGGGAAGAUGGCCAGUUGGUGCAUCAAGGUAGAGGGGUAAGGCUGGAGCCAGGGCCUUAGAGAAAGCGUGAGAAAGGCAGGGGCAAGUGGGGCAGCACUGAGGGACACAGAGAUGAUCGGGCUGGAUCUGAGAAAUGUAUUACUUGCCCUCUGAAUGAGGGCAACUGGGAGAAACAGUUGUGAUGGGAGGAAAGUAGAGUCCCCUCUUCUUAUUUCUCGAUGAGCAGAGCAUUUUGACAAUCUAGUGAUAAUAAAAUACCUCCAUGGGGGAGAUGCUGGCUUCCCCAACUAGAAAGACAUUCUCUACUGACCAAGAGCAGCUACUCAGGAUAUCCCUGGGCUGAGUUUUGUGCAAAGGCUCAUGAGAAGGGCUGGGGCUGGCCCACAGUUGGCUGCUGAUGUUGGUUGAAUGGAGGCAGAGGGUGCAUCUGUAUGAUCUGCUGUCCUGUGCACUUAGGGCCCAGGAACUGGCAGGCAAGGUCAGAAGGACAUGUGUUGCUAAGAAAAUCCACCCAGCAUGCACUUUUUAUUACACCCAAAUAUAGGUCAUGUUGGGAGGGUGCUUGGGGAAGCAAAAGGUCAUUGUGUGGCUGAAAUCUAUAGGCAGGAGCUGUCAGCCUUGGGUGCCUCCUCACCCUGUCUGGCAGCAGCCGCUACAAAGCAAGACAUGAGUCCUUCCCAUUAGCCUCCCCUUCUCCCACCAGUCUCAUUACCCUCUGCUCAUCCCCUGGAUUCUGAAUCAAGUUCAGACUGCCUGCACAGCAGGGUUGCCAGCUGGUUUGACUUUAUUCUGUGAUUCACUGUCUAGCAGAGGGAGUUUCUCUGGUAAGCCUAUUGAGGCUGGAAACUUAACCCUCCAAAA
Chlorocebus sabaeus (green monkey) is the source of this 7471-nucleotide non-coding RNA. The record is from RefSeq and is a predicted model, not a curated record. NCBI's taxonomy places the organism in Eukaryota, Metazoa, Chordata, Mammalia, Primates, Cercopithecidae.